GGGUAGGGGACGUCGAGAUCUCCAGAGCUCUUCUCUCUUGAUAGGAUGGGAGUGGGCCUUCUCGGCCGAGAGCCCCACAUGGCCAGCGUGGGCAGAAGCUCAGUGUGCAUCUCCCUGCUGAUCUCCUUCAGAUGAGAGCUGGGCCACACAGGCCCACAGCCGCCGGAGGUCAUGGCACUCUUUCUGCUGUGGUCCAUGCUGCUUUUGUUGCUGCCGUCCCGCACAGCCCUCCAAAGACCCCUUGCUGCUGGACUUCUCUGGCCUGGCCCCUCUUCCUCCCUUGUACUUGGCAACUUCUUUCAGCCAAGUGAUUGUUACUCCCUUCUUCCACUUGACCAUGCCCAUUCAGAAAGGGGGAUGAAUUCAGCCCUGGGGGUUUGCAUAGCAUCAGCUUCUGUUAGGACGCAUGAAUGGAGAGCCCCCUCUCAGCAGGGGCGUAGGAGGCCGACUUGCCUUCCGGUCCCCUCACGUCUACAUGCCUUGUAUAUACUUGAGAUUUCUGACUCACUUGAACUCUUUUCCACUAAGUGACAUCCAUCUUUACUCCAUCAAAGGCAGGAGGAAGGUGGACAUUGGAUUGAUUACCCUGGAGCCCUGGGCUCACUGCUUUCUAGCGAGCAUCCGUUUGGGUCCUCGCAGCACCCCUCCCAGGUGGAUGGUGCUGUCCUGACCAACAGUCUGUUAGACUCUUGUUUACAUAGAGGUGAACCAACCUCUCUGAGUUCUGAGAUUCCCUCUUAGCCCCAUAGCUGGGACCAGAUCUGCUCUUUCUGCUCCAUCUUGAAAGCAAGGCAGCCUCUGCCCAGAAAGUAUGAUCAUAGCAGGUCAUUUGCAGCCUGGGACCCUCCCUCUCCCCGCAACUCCACGUCCCUCAUACUUCCAGGGGAGGAAGCAAAUGGAUGCAGACUGCUACUUGGAAGAGACUCCUGAGGAGGUCGCAUUAAACCACCUGUAAGAAAGGUGGAGCUGGAUUCACCUGGCGCCCUGUUCUUUACGCACAGGGACCCGAUUGAGAGUAUCUGUGCCAGAUCCCAGGUGUGGGCUGGCUGCUGAACC
This 1056-nucleotide long non-coding RNA is filed under the name Marmota monax (woodchuck). The record is from RNAcentral. Lineage: Eukaryota; Metazoa; Chordata; Mammalia; Rodentia; Sciuridae.